UACGAAGGGGGCUAGCGUUGCUCGGAAUUACUGGGCGUAAAGUGUGCGCAGGCGGCUCUGCAAGUCGAGUGUGAAAUCCCCGAGCUUAACUUGGGAAUUGCGCUCGAAACUACGGAGCUGGAGUGUGGCAGAGGAAGGUGGAAUUCCACGUGUAGCGGUGAAAUGCGUAGAGGAUGUGGAGGAACACCGAUGGCGAAGGCAGCCUUCUGGGCCAACACUGGACGCUCAUGCACGAAAGCGUGGGGAGCAAACAGG
RNAcentral lists this ribosomal RNA (255 nucleotides) under uncultured bacterium. Its description in RNAcentral is "partial 16S ribosomal RNA". It matches the Rfam family "Bacterial small subunit ribosomal RNA", at positions 524 to 776 of the family's 1533-position model. The record is from RNAcentral.